AGCUGAUGCGCCAUGCCGCGUGUGUGAGAAGUCUUCGGRUUGUAAGCACUUUCAGUAGGGAGGAANGGUUWAGUUUUAAUACAGCUUAGCUGUGACGUUACUUACAGAAGAAGCACCGGCUAACUCCGUGCCAGCAGCCGCGGUAAU
Molecule: ribosomal RNA, 147 nt
Filed under: uncultured bacterium
Lineage: Bacteria
Description: partial 16S ribosomal RNA
Rfam family: Bacterial small subunit ribosomal RNA
Source: RNAcentral